AUCAAUUCACAGCCUUUUGGUUACAACCAAGUGCAGUAUCUGUUCUUUCCAGUUUAAUAUUUGAUGUCUUCUAUCUGAAGACAAUAUAGUAAAUAGAAUUUGGGGGCUGAGAGAUGAAAUAGGGACUUGCUCCACCCAUUUCAUAUAUUAACCUGGUGUUGCAGUACCUGCAUGAUCAUCAAAAUAUUU
Molecule: small nuclear RNA, 189 nt
Filed under: Neotoma lepida (desert woodrat)
Lineage: Eukaryota; Metazoa; Chordata; Mammalia; Rodentia; Cricetidae
Description: U2 spliceosomal RNA
Rfam family: U2 spliceosomal RNA
About the family: U2 is a small nuclear RNA (snRNA) component of the spliceosome (involved in pre-mRNA splicing).
Source: Rfam by way of RNAcentral